GUGAAACAGCUAGAAAUUGAUCUUAAAAAAUUGGAGUAAUGACCUAGUCAAGAGUCAUAAUCCUCGAAUCUUCUGGUUUCUGGUUAAUAGAAAGAGAGCAGAAGAAGUGGGUUAUUGUGCAAGUUUGCAGAGAAAAGCUGGCCAGAGUGGAAAUGGAGCUGCCAAAAGAGUAUGGAUAUGUGGCUCUGGUUCUUGUAGCGUAUUGCUUCCUCAAUUUCUGGAUGGCUGGUCAGGUAGGCAAGGCCCGCAAGAUGUACAAGGUUCCUUAUCCUACCCUUUAUGCUUUAGAAUCUGAAAACAAAGAUGCUAAGCUCUUCAACUGUGUCCAGAGAGGGCACCAGAACUCGCUAGAGAUGAUGCCUAUGUUCUUUGUGUUGAUGAUGUUAGGAGGGUUUAGGCAUCCCUGUGUCUGCGCUUCUCUUGGAUGCCUCUAUAUCAUCACUCGUUAUUUCUAUUUCACUGGCUAUUCCACCGGAGAUCCUCAGAAACGUCUCAGUAUUGGGUUAGUUAAUUAGUUUUUCUAUUUACCAAUUAAUUGCUUUGCUUCAGUUGUCCCAGUCAGUCCUUGAUUUGCUGCCUUCUUCUCUUAAGAAUUGAAACUUAUGAAUAUAUUAUAGAAAUUGCAUAUGCUGAAACAUGUUUCUAUUGUUUUGGUCCUGGAAAUUUGAUGUGAAGUUUUGUUGGCUGUCAAAAGAAAACUAUUCAAGAAAAUUUACACUAUGUUUGGAUCAUAGAUUGGGAUGGUUUCAUAUAAUAAAUUGUUCCUAAAAAAUGGUGGUUUGGGUUUGUAAAAUAAUGGUUUCCUAAUCAUAAUUUAGUACAGGCUUUCAAACCACCAAAUUGGUGGUAUAGCUAUGCAAGCCACCAAAUUGGUAAUUUGGCAUGGUUUAAAAAAUUUUGUUUUCUCCUUAUAUCCCUAUACAAUAUAUAAAAUUCUAAUUACAUAGUUUCAAUGUUAUAUAUUUAUAAGGCAUAUUUUGUGAUUAAUUAAAAAAACUAAAAUGUACUUUUAAUUAUUAUUAUAAUAACAUUAUUUAUAAAUUAAU
RNAcentral lists this unclassified non-coding RNA (1046 nucleotides) under Hevea brasiliensis (rubber tree). The record is from RNAcentral. Lineage: Eukaryota; Viridiplantae; Streptophyta; Magnoliopsida; Malpighiales; Euphorbiaceae.